RNAcentral lists this ribosomal RNA (10728 nucleotides) under Triticum aestivum (bread wheat). Its description in RNAcentral is "partial small subunit ribosomal RNA". The record is from RNAcentral. Lineage: Eukaryota; Viridiplantae; Streptophyta; Magnoliopsida; Poales; Poaceae.
AUGAAAUGGUCGACAUUGCUCAGUAAGGUCGUCUUCGCCGCCCCGCAGCAGCAGCAGCCGCCUCCGCCGCCGCCGCCCCCGGCGUCCCCGCUCCACGACCAGGAGGCCGACCCCGCCACCCCGCGCCUCAGCUCCGCCUCCGCCUCCGCCAGCGACGACGGCCGCGCCAGCGCCGCGUCCGGGAACUCGCCCUCGGCCGCCAGGGGAAAAAAUGAACUGGUGUCAGACUUCAGGAGGUUCUGGGAAGAAUUCCGCUCUUCCAGCUCUGAAAAGGAGAAAGAAAGGGCCUUAAAUUUGGCAGUAGAUGUCUUCUGUAGGCUAGUGAAGCAGCAGUUUAGUGUAGCUCAAUUAGUUACAAAGUUAGUAGAAGCACAUGUUUUUGCUUUUGUUAUUGGAAGGGCCUUUGUCACAGAUGUGGAGAAACUAAGAAUCCACAGCAAAGGAAGAUCCUUGCAUGUUGAUGAUGUUAUUUGCUUCUUUUCUGAGGUCACAGAGCUUGGCGUAUGUCCGGGUUCAAACUUGUUAUAUGCAGUUGAAGUUCUUGUGACAGAGACUAUUGAUAAGCAGCCUUUGUUGGACUCUGGUAUUCUGUGCUGCCUUAUAUAUAUCCUCAAUUCCCUGUUGAGUUCUGAUGAAUCCUGCAAAAAAUCCUCACCUGUUGGUGGAGAAGGAUCAGCAAGUGGGAAGAAUAAAGAUUGGUGUCCUUUGCAAUCUCGGCGGCUCGAGAUCGAGGCAAGUGUAGUGCAUAUAAUGAAGGCACUAGCGAGCCAUUCAUCUGCUGCACCAAGUUUAAUUGAAGAUGACGCUCUACAGCUUCUUUUCCACAUGGUUGCAAAUGGUUCUGUAUCUGUGUUUUCUCAGUUCAAGGAGGGUCUUGUUCCUCUUCACACAAUUCAGCUUCAUCGGCAUGCGAUGCAGGUUCUCAGUCUUCUUCUUGCAAAUGACAAUGGGACUUCUGCGAAGUACAUAAGGAAGCAUCAGUUGAUUAAAGUACUCCUUAUGGCCGUGAAAGAUUUCGAACCUCAAAGUGGUGAUGCUGCUUAUACCAUCAGCAUUGUGGAUUUGUUACUGGAAUGUGUUGAGCUCUCUUAUAGGCCUGAGGCUGGAUCCAUUAGGCUCAGGGAAGACAUACACAAUGCUCAUGGUUACCAGUUCCUUGUCCAGUUUGCACUCACACUAUGCAGCUUACACAAAAAUCAGGUUAACCAAUCCUUGCCCAAGACAGUAUCUGAAGAGAGUAGGUCGGACGCUUCCCGCAGAUUAGAAGAAGAUACGUUCUCAUGUGACCUUUCACCUCAGCUGUCCAGGUUGCUUGAUGUUCUUGUAAAUUUGUCGCAAACUGGUCCCUCUGAAGAUUUUGUUGGUAAAAGUAUGCAAUCUUCUCAUGGGAAGGGAACAGGUCACAGCAGAAGCCGAACCCCAUCUGCUGACAAGUUUGCAGAUGACAUUUUGGAAAUGAGCAGUCCCAAGGUAAAAGAUCUUGAAGCCAUUCAGAUGUUACAGGACAUUUUUCUGAAGGCAGACAACUUAGAAGUACAAGCUGAAGUUCUCAAUAGAAUGUUCAAGAUCUUCUCGAGCCAUCUCGAAAACUACAAGCUAUGUCAGCAACUGCGAACUGUUCCUCUUUUUAUCCUAAACAUGGGCGGUUUCCCUGCAGCACUUCAAGAGGUCAUCUUAAAAAUUCUAGAGUAUGCAGUCACUGUUGUAAAUUGUAUUCCAGAGCAGGAGUUGUUAUCACUCUGUUGCUUACUGCAACAACCAAUUUCUACCAGUCUUAAGCAUACUGUACUUUCUUUCUUCGUAAAGCUCCUGUCCUUUGAUCAGCAGUACAAGAAAGUUCUCAGGGAAGUGGGUGUUCUUGGGGCAUUGUUAGAUGACUUGAAACAAAACAAGCUUUUCUCUGGAGAUGAUCAGCAGAGCAAGAUCUUUUACUCUCCGGAGAUUAGGUCUGACACAGAUGAUAUUCAGAAAACUGUGGACAACGAAGACUCCAUUCUUUCACCGAAGUUGAUGGCUUCUGGUUCCACGAAAUUUCCCAUGUUUGAUGAUGAAGGGACACUUAAUGUUGCCUGGGAUUGCCUUUUUUAUCUGCUGAAGAGAGCUGAGACUAACCAGCAGUCUUUCCGAUCUUCCAAUGGAGUCAACACCAUUCUUCCUUUCUUGGUAUCAGAAAGCCACAGAUCUGGUGUGCUACGGCUACUGUCAUGCUUAAUAAUUGAAGAUUCUCUUCAGGCUCAUCCUGAAGAAAUAGGAUCACUGAUUGAGAUCUUGAAGAGUGGGAUGGUAUCAACCUCACUGGGUUCUCAGCACAAGCUUGACAAUGAUGCAAAGUGUGAUACAUUCGGAGCUUUGUGGCGCAUUCUUGGGGCAAACAAUUCAGCACAAAGAAUUUUUGGAGAAGCCACUGGAUUUUCUCUUCUACUUACAACGCUUCAUAGUUUCCAGAAUGAAGGUGAAAAUGAGGAGAAUGAACUAUCAUUGUUUACUCACAUGAAGAUCUUUGGUUUUCUAAUGCGCGCUAUGACAGCUGCUGUAUGCAACAAUGCUGUUAAUAGGAUAAGGCUGCAUACAGUUCUGUCGUCACACACUUUCUAUGAUCUUCUCUCUGAUUCUGGGUUGCUUUGUGUGGAUUGCGAAAGGCAAGUUAUCUUACUUAUGCUUGAGCUUGCACUAGAGAUUGUUCUUCCUCCUACCAGCAACCUGCAGGUAGAGAGCAUCUCAUCUGAAACCUCAGAGGAUGAACCAUGUUUCUUGUCUGCAACCUCGUUUGGAGUUUCAAAGCUUGAUGUGGAACGUGUUUAUAAUGCUAGUGCAGUUGUCGUAUUGAUCCGCUCCUUGCUAAUGUUUACGCCUAAAGUUCAACUUGAGUUGCUGAAAUUCAUCGAGAAACUAGCAAAUGCUGGUCCCUUCAACCAGGAGAAUUUAACUUCUGUUGGAUGUGUUGGUCUUCUACUCGAGACAAUCAACCCAUUUUUGGAGGGUUCCUCUCCUAUUCUCAAUCAUGCUUUGAGGAUUGUUGAAGUGCUAGGUGCCUAUAGGUUGUCUUCUUCCGAACUAAGACUUCUUGUGAGGUAUAUACUUCAGCUGAAAGUGAAGCGUUCAGGUCAUCUUUUUGUAAAUAUGAUGGAGAAGCUAAUUCAAAUGGAAGAUGUCAGACAAGGAGAUAUUUCUCUAGCCCCUUUCAUUGAGAUGGACAUGAGUAAAGCUGGCUAUGCAUCCAUUCAGGUUUCAUUAGGGGAAAGGACAUGGCCACCUGUUUCUGGAUACUCUUUUGUUUGUUGGUUCCAGUUUAGAAACUUAUUUAGAAGCCAUUCCAAGGAAACAGAAAAACCAUCAAAAGGGGCUUAUGGUAAAAGGAGUGCGCAAGUUUUGCGCAUCUUUUCUGUGAGUGCAGUGGAUGACGCCAACACUUUGUAUGCAGAACUUUAUCUUCAUGACAAUGGUGCUUUUACUAUAGCAACAAGCAAUUCAAGUUCAUUGUCAUUUCCUGGCAUUGAAAUGGUGGAGGGAAAAUGGCAUCAUCUUGCAGUUGUUCAUAGCAAACCAAAUGCAUUAGCUGGCCUUUUCCAAGCAAGUGUGGCAAGCAUUUACCUUGACGGAAAGCUGAGGCAUACUGGCAAGCUUGGAUACUCGCCAUCCCCAUUUGGUAAAUCAUUGCAAGUAACACUUGGUACACCUGCUACCCGUGGCAAAGUUUCUGACUUAUCAUGGCAGCUCCGCUGUUGUUACCUUUUCGAGGAAGUCUUGACACCAGGGAGCAUUUGUUUCAUGUAUAUUCUUGGACAAGGUUACCGGGGAUUGUUCCAGGACACCGAUCUUCUGAGAUUUGUACCUAACCGGGCCUGUGGUGGGGAGGUAAUGGCAAUUCUUGAUUCACUUGAAGUGGAAGUAACUGCACCUUCAAGCAGCCAGCGGAUAGAUAGUUCAGCGAAACAAGUGAGUUCUAGACUUGAGAGCAGUGGAAUUGUAUGGGAUAUGGAAAGGUUAAGAAAUCUCUCAAUGCAAUUGUCUGGGAGGAAGCUAAUAUUUGCAUUUGAUGGAACAUCAUCAGAUGCUUUUCGAGCAUCUGGGACUCUUUCCUUGCUUAACCUUGUUGAUCCAACUUCUGCUGCUGCAUCCCCUAUAGGAGGUAUACCACGAUACGGACGUCUAAGUGGUGAUGUUUAUGUGUGUAAUCAAUGCACAAUUGGUGACACUGUUCAAACUGUUGGAGGAAUGCCUGUUGUGCUUGCUCUUGUUGAGGCUGCUGAAACUAAGGAUAUGCUGCAUAUGGCACUGGAAUUGCUUGCAUUGUCUCUUCAGCAGGGCCAUCAAAAUGUGAAAGACAUGCAGGCCUUGAGGGGCUAUCAUCUUCUCGCACUUUUUCUGCACAGGAGGAUGUCAUUAUUCGAUAUGCAAUCUCUUGAUAUCUUCUUCCGCAUCGCUGCCUGUGAGGCUUCAUUUCCCGAGCCACAGAAAUCAAAUAUAAACCGAACAUCAAGCUAUGCAUCUGGUAUCUCCCCAGAUGCCAGUCUUGAUGAUCUUAGCCUACCUAAGUUUGGCGAUGAUCUGUCUUCUGGUGGAUCACAUGGAGAUCUAGAUGAUUUUUCAGCUCAAAAAGAUUCAUUCAGCCAUUUGUCUGAGCUUGAAAAUGCUGACUUAGCUGGUGAGACUUCUGAGUUCAUAGUUUUGUCAAAUGCUGAUAUGGUUGAACAUGUUCUCUUGGACUGGACUAUAUGGGUUGCUGCUCCUAUAUCAGUACAAAUAACUCUUCUUGGGUUUCUUGAGAGGAUGGUAUCAAUGCAUUGGUUUAGGAACCAUAACCUCACAAUAUUGCGUCGAAUUAAUCUUGUGCAGCAUCUUCUUGUUACUUUACAGCGUGGGGAUGUUGAAAUUCCUGUGCUGGAGAAGCUAGUUGUGCUGCUUGGUGUCAUCUUGGAGGAUGGUUUUCUAGCUUCCGAGUUGGAGCUUGUUGUAAGAUUCAUAAUCAUGACAUUUGAUCCUCCAGAACUUAGCCCAAACCGUCAGAUUGUCCGGGAGGCUAUGGGAAAGCAUAUUAUUGUGAGGAACAUGUUACUUGAAAUGCUCAUUGAUCUACAAGUAACCAUAAACGCUGAAGAGUUGCUGGAGCAAUGGCAUAAAGUUGUUUCAUCUAGAUUGGUCACAUAUUUCCUUGAUGAAGCUGUGCAUCCGACAAGUAUGAGAUGGAUCACCACCCUAUUAGGAGUUUGCCUUACAUCAUCUGCUACAUUCGCUCUGAAAUUCCGUACAAGUGGUGGUUUCCAAGGGUUGAAUCAUGUGCUUCCAAGCUUUUAUGAUUCUCCUGAAAUAUAUUAUAUAAUCUUCUGUUUGAUUUUUGGGAAGCCUGUUUAUCCUCGAGUUCCGGAGGUCCGCAUGCUUGAUUUCCAUGCUCUCAUGCCUAGUGAUGGAAACUAUGGAGAACUGAAGUUUGUGGAUCUAUUGGAUACUGUUAUCGCAAUGGCAAAAGCUACAUUUGAUUCAUUUAUUAUGAAGUCUAUGCUUGCACAUCAGAAUAACAAUCUUUCACACCUUAAUGGCACCUUGGUUGCGGAUCUUGUGGAGGCAACAUCAGACAUGGGAGGAGAUCUUCAAGGAGAAGCUCUGAUGCAUAAGACAUAUGCAGCAAGGUUAAUGGCUGGGGAAGCAGCAGCACCUGCUGUUGCUACUUCAAUAUUGCGGUUCAUGGUUGAUUUGGCAAAAACCUGCCCACCAUUCUCUGCUGUUUGCAGGCGACAUGAAUUCCUAGAAAGCUGUAUUGAUCUAUAUUUCUCUUGUGCAAGGUCUGAUUGUGCGUUGAAGAUGGCAAAAGAUCUAACAACUGCUGCAAUAGAUGAGAAGAACAUGAAUGAUGAUGACAAUGGAAGUUCAAAAGAUACCUUUCCAUGUUUGCCACAGAAUCAGGAACAAUCUGCCAAAACUUUGAGUGCUGCAAGUUUUCCUCAGGAGCAAAAAAGCACUAGCUCAGGAAGUACCGACAUGCAGAACUCUUCUGAUAAUGGUGAAGUAAAAGCAGACAUCUCUCUCAGUGAGGAGCUCAGCACCAAGUUUCUAAAUGGAGAAGCAAGCCAAGUGUUUCAGAAUGCUCAUGAUAAAGGACCGUUAUCAGCUGUGAGAUCAAAUGGCAUUGCCGAUUCUCACCAACUAUCUGAUUCACCCAGCUCAGUCUCUGUGAUUAACAUUGGAUCCCCUGUUUUGUCUGAGAGAUCGACUCAUAAACCAGCAAACACCCCUACCGCGUCUCCCAUGGCCCCAUUCACUUCUUGGGCUGGUAGCACAGGAUCAUAUACUGAUGGUAGACACCUAACAGCCUCUCCAUCCAUGUCUUCAACUAUAUCUGCAAUGGACCUCGAUUCAUCUCCUGAUCUAAAGACAAGCAUUCAGGGAUCGCCUGCAGUGAAUACAUUUUUCCCGAUCAGUUCGAAGCUUCUGCUUGACAUAGAUGAUGUAGGUUAUGGGGGUGGCCCUUGCUCUGCAGGAGCUACUGCUGUUCUUGAUUUCAUUGCUCAAAUCCUUGCUGAUAUUAUAUCAGAGCAGCUCAAAGCAACACUCUUUAUUGAGAGCGUUCUUGAGUCCGUGCCUUUGUUUGUAGACGUUGAUUCUGCUUUGGUUUUUCAAGGCUUGUGCCUAAGCAGACUGAUGAACUUCCUUGAAAGAAAACUCUUACUCGAUGAUGAAGAAGAUGGGAAGAAACUCGACAAGAGUCGCUGGUCUGUCAACUUGGAACCACUUUGCUGGCUGAUUGUUGACCGUGUAUACAUUGGCUGCUUUCCAACCCCAGUCGGUGUACUGCGAACACUAGAGUUCUUGUUGUCCAUGUUGCAGCUUGCCAAUCAAGAUGGCCGUAUUGAAGAUGCAGUACCUUCAGGUAAAGGUAUUUUAUCCAUUGCUCGAGGAACCAGGCAACUCGACCCCUACAUCCAUGCCAUAUUGAAGAACACAAACCGUCUGAUAAUGUACUGUUUCCUGCCAACAUUCCUUAAGAAUCUUGGGGAGGAUGACCUGCUGGCAAAUCUGGCUUUCCUAACGGAAACAGGGAGAAAUUUAGCUUCAAAACCUCCCCAAGAAGAGUAUUCUGUCGAUAUUUGUACCAUUCUUCAGCUUUUGAUUUCCAACAAGAGGCUGAUUCUAUGCCCAAGCAAUGUUGAUAAUGAUCUAAUGUGUUGUUUCUGCAUCAAUCUGAUGGCACUUCUUCGUGACAAGAGAUUAACUGCACAAGACUUAGCGGUGGAUUUACUUAAGUACCUGGUAGUGCAUCGACGCCCAUCUCUUGAGGACCUGCUUGUUUGUAAGCCUAACCAGGGGCAACAAACAGACAUUCUGCAUGGAGGGCUUGACAAAUUGCUGACUGUGAGUACAUCCGUGUUUUUUGAGUGGCUCGAGAAUUCUCAGCAAACAAUUAGUAAAGUGUUAGACCAGUGUGCUUUAAUAAUGUGGGUUCAGUACAUUACUGGCUCAGCAAAAUUUCCUGGGGUGAGAAUAAAAGGCAUGGAAGUCAGGCGCAAGAAGGAGAUGGGACGGAAAUCACGCGAAAUUGUAAAGCUAGAUGCCAGACACUGGGAGCAGAUAAAUGAACGGAGGUAUAAUCUUGAUUUGGUUCGUGAUGUGAUGUCCACAGAGCUGAGGGCAAUUCGUCAAGACAAAUAUGGAUGGAUAUUGCAUGGAGAAAGUGAGUGGCAGAGCCAAAUUCAACAGCUUGUACAUGAAAGAGGUAUUUUCCCCAUUUGUCAAGUAUCCACAGAACCUGCAUGGCAGUUAUGUGCUGUUGAAGGACCAUAUAGAAUGCGGAAGAAACUUGAGAACUCCAAAUUUAAGAUAGAUACUAUUCAGAAUGUUCUAACCAGCAGCCUUGGGUUUGAUGAUGUUACUAGAGCCAAGGAGGAGGAUGGAGACAUGAUGACAUCUGGGUCAGAUACAAUGUCGGGCUUGAAUCUUUUGACCUAUGAUACUGAGCAGAGGGAACUUGAUGCUGCUGAUUUUGCAUCUUUCAAAGAGGAUGAUGACAUAUUCAAAGGAGGAAGCACAGCGUCACCUCCAAUUGGCUGGACUGAUGAUAAAAGCAGCAUCAAUGAACAGAGUCUUCACUCUGCAAAUGAUUUCGGAGCAAAAUCAAGUUCCUUUUCUUAUCACAUGUCAGAGAGUGUCCAAGGUAGAUCUGAGUUAUAUUCACCAAGACAACCACCUUCAGUUAAAGGUACUGAUACGAGAACCUCAGAGGAUAAAUCAGAUAAGGAGUUGCUUGACAACGGAGAAUAUCUUAUCAGGCCUUAUAUGGAACCUUCUGAAAAGAUCAGGCAUAAGUACAAUUGUGAACGUGUUGCUGGUCUUGACAAGCACGAUGGUAUAUUUCUUAUUGGGGAGCUUUGCUUAUACAUUAUUGAGAACUUCUACAUCGACGAUUCCAACUGCAUUUGCGAAAAGGCCGAUCAAGAUGAGCUUUCUGUCAUUGAUCAGGCUUUAGGUGUGAAAAAGGAUAUAAUGGGAAGCAUUGAUUCCCAGCAGAAAUCACCUUCACCAUGGGGUGCAACUGCAAAGGACUCACUUGGUGGUAGAGCAUGGGCAUACAAUGGAGGUGCUUGGGGUAAGGAAAAUCUUUGCAAUAGCAGCAACCUGCCUCAUCCAUGGCAUAUGUGGAAGCUUGAUAGUGUCCAUGAGCUCCUGAAACGUGACUAUCAGCUUCGACCUGUUGCAAUCGAGAUUUUCAGCAUGGAUGGGUGUAACGAGCUUCUAGUUUUCCACAAAAAAGAGAGGGAGGAAGUUUUCAGAACUCUGAUUGCCAUGAACCUCCCACGGAAUAGCAUGUUGGACACGACAAUAUCAGCUUCCUCAAAGCAGGAUAGCGGUGAGGGGAGCCGCCUUUUCAAAGUUAUGGCAAAAUCUUUUUCCAAAAGAUGGCAAAGUGGAGAAAUUACCAACUUCCAGUAUCUCAUGCAUCUAAAUACACUUGCCGGUCGGGGCUAUAGCGACCUUACACAGUACCCAGUAUUUCCAUGGGUUCUUGCAGAUUACGAAAGCGAUAACUUAGAUCUGAGUAACCCACAGAGCUUCCGUAAGCUUGAUAAACCAAUGGGAUGUCAAACAGAGGGAGGAGAAGAGGAAUUCCGUAAGAGAUAUGAAAGCUGGGAUGACCCUGAUGUACCGAAGUUCCAUUAUGGUUCUCAUUAUUCAAGUGCUGGGAUUGUUCUUUUCUAUCUUCUAAGACUGCCUCCAUUCAGCAUGGAAAACCAGAAACUGCAGGGUGGACAAUUCGACCAUGCAGACAGGUUGUUCAAUAGUGUGAAAGAUACAUGGACAAGCGCUGCUGGUAAGAGCAACACAUCAGAUGUGAAAGAGCUCAUUCCUGAGUUCUAUUAUCUGCCCGAGUUUUUGGAGAACCGGUUUAAUCUGGACUUGGGGGAGAAACAAUCAGGAGAGAAGGUCGGUGAUGUUGUUUUGCCACCUUGGGCGAAAGGUAGCACCAGAGAAUUUAUUAGAAAACACCGGGAAGCUCUGGAAUCAGACUAUGUAUCUGAGAAUCUGCAUCAUUGGAUUGAUCUUAUUUUUGGAUAUAAGCAGAGAGGAAAGGCAGCUGAAGAUGCCGUCAAUGUUUUCUAUCACUACACAUAUGAAGGCAAUGUUGACAUAGAUGCAGUAUCAGAUCCUACCAUGAAGGCUUCGAUACUGGCACAGAUCAAUCACUUUGGCCAGACCCCCAAACAGUUAUUCCAAAAAGCCCAUCCACAGCGGCGGACUGACAGGAAAAUUCCUCCUCAUCCUCUACGGUACAGCACCUAUCUCACACACCAAGAGAUCCGCAAGACAGCAUCGUCAGUGUCCCAGAUCGUGACCUACAAUGACAAGAUCCUAAUUGCCGCAUCAAACAGCUUGCUCAAGCCAGUUGCUUACAGUGAGUACAUCUCAUGGGGAUUUCCUGACCGCAGCUUGAGAAUAUUGACAUAUGAUCAGGAUAGACUUCAAUCAACACAUGAGAACCUUCAUGGUGGUAGUCAAAUUCAGUGCACUGGAGUGAGCCAUGAUGGCAACAUUCUCACCACAGGUGGUGAUGACGGAGUAGUUGCAGUAUGGAGAUUUGUGAAGGAUGGCAUUCGUCGUCUCCUGAGGAUGGAGAAAGCCCUGUGUGCCCACACUGCCAAAAUAACAUGCAUCUAUGUCAGCCAGCCUUACUCGUUAAUAGUCUCAGGCUCUGACGAUUGUUCCGUCAUCUUGUGGGACCUGACAGGCCUGGUCUUUGUGAAGCAGCUGCCUAGGUUCCCAGCGUCAGUGUCUGCAUUACAUGUGAACAACCUCAAUGGUGAGAUUCUGACUGGUGCUGGUGUUCUUUUUGCUGUUUGGAGCGUCAACGGAGACUGUCUUGCUGUGGUGAACACCUCUCAGCUUCCUUCUGAUCUCAUCUUAUCUGUGGCAAGCACGACACACUCAGACUGGCAGGAUACAAACUGGUAUGUGACAGGCCAUCAAAGUGGUGCUGUGAAGGUAUGGAAGAUGGUGCACUGCACGUCUGAUGAGGCAGCAAACAACAAAAACAAAUCCCCAACAACCACCUAUGGAGGGCCGGGUCUGGAUGUCCAGACGCUGGAAUACAGGCUAAUUCUUCAAAAGGUUCUCAAAUCACACAAGCACCCGGUGACUGCCCUUUGUAUACCGCCCGACCUGAAGCAGCUUCUGAGCGGGGAUGCCAAUGGUCAUUUGUUUUCUUGGUCACUGAAAGAUGACAGCUUCAAGGGCUCAUAG